Molecule: ribosomal RNA, 253 nt
Filed under: uncultured bacterium
Lineage: Bacteria
Description: partial 16S ribosomal RNA
Rfam family: Bacterial small subunit ribosomal RNA
Source: RNAcentral
CACGUAGGGCGCAAGCGUUGUCCGGAAUUAUUGGGCGUAAAGAGCUCGUAGGCGGUCUGUUACGUCUGCUGUGAAAACCCAGGGCUUAACCCUGGGCUUGCAGUGGAUACGGGCAGACUAGAGGCAGGUAGGGGAGAAUGGAAUUCCCGGUGUAGCGGUGAAAUGCGCAGAUAUCAGGAAGAACACCCGUGGCGAAGGCGGUUCUCUGGGACGGUACUGACGCUGAGACGCGAAAGCGUGGGGAGCGAACAGG